GAAAGAGAUAAAUGAACCUACCUAGGAGUUUUGGACUAUGUGGGUGGAGGAAGUUUUGCUGAGAAUUGAUGUGGGUUCCUCCUGUGUUCAGAGAAGCAGGACUUUGCACAUUCCUUGUGUAAUAAACAAGAUUACAUCAGAGAAAAUACCAGACUCCAUCAAUGUCUACUUCCAGCUGGAACAACCUCAAGGCAUGGCAUUUUGACUAGCCACUCAGGUCAAAAAGAGACAACAAUAAAAGCAGGCUUGGAACACAGAAUUUGAACAGAAGAAUAGCCAGUUCUGGAUCAAUAGCUGGUACGGCUCUGCCCCCACUGGAAUGUCUAGCACCACCAUCAGCGAAUAAGCAGCUUAAGUCUCUUAAUGCCCCAUGCUGACCUGCAAGGUGUGUAUGAGAGUGGGGUUGUUUCAUCCUCUCACCUCACACAUCCACCCAGGGGAGUCAGAGCCUGGCAUAUUAUAAGCAUGGCCUCUAGUGCAACUGCAGUUAUAUUAAGUCACUUUAAGAGAAAAUAUAUAUAUAUUAGGCUUAAAAAUAAAUAUUAACAAAUGGUUUACCUGGUUUAGGGGAAAAAAAUAAGCAAUGGCCCUAACAUGAGUCUGGAUCUGAAUACUCCCACCCACCCACGCACCCACACAUAAAACCCAUACUUUUAUAAUGUUCAGCUGGUGGUUCAGAUAAAUAUUUCUUCUCCCCACCCUGGAGAAAAGUCACUUCUACCACCACAAGAUCCAUAAAAUGCACUGUGAUAUCUCAUCCACUCUGGCAAUUUCAAACUAUUAUUAUUUAUUACUGGAAGAUCAUAUAUAUUCCAUCACACACUGCAAGAUUUACUGAGACCCCAGGAUAGAUUUGCAGGAUUUCAGCAAAGGUUGAGGGGAGGAGGGCUGUUGACAGUCUGGGAGAUUAAGGGGAACAGAGGAGGAAAGAAAAAUCAUCAAGAAGA
This is a long non-coding RNA of Mauremys reevesii (Reeves's turtle), 947 nucleotides long. RefSeq lists it as uncharacterized. The transcript is spliced from 3 exons. Lineage: Eukaryota; Metazoa; Chordata; Testudines; Geoemydidae. The record is from RefSeq and is a predicted model, not a curated record.